This 462-nucleotide ribosomal RNA is filed under the name uncultured bacterium. RNAcentral's name for it is "partial 16S ribosomal RNA". It matches the Rfam family "Bacterial small subunit ribosomal RNA", at positions 29 to 507 of the family's 1533-position model. The record is from RNAcentral.
AGUGAACGCUGGCGGCGUGCCUAAUACUUGCAAGUCGAACGGAGAUUAAGUAGCUUGCUAUUUAAUCUUAGUGGCGCACGGGUGAGUAAUAUAUAGCUAACUUGCCCAUUACUAAGGGACAACAGUUGGAAACGACUGCUAAUACCUUAUACUCCGUAUCUAUAUAAGUAGAUACGGGAAAGUUUUUCGGUAAUGGAUAGGGCUAUAUCGUAUCAGCUAGUUGGUAAGGUAAUGGCUUACCAAGGCUAUGACGCGUAACUGGUCCGAGAGGAUGAUCAGUCACACUGGAACUGAGACACGGUCCAGACUCCUACGGGAGGCAGCAGUAGGGAAUAUUGCUCAAUGGGGGAAACCCUGAAGCAGCAACGCCGCGUGGAGGAUGACACUUUUCGGAGCGUAAACUCCUUUUCUUGGGAAAGAAUUAUGACGGUACCCAAGGAAUAAGCACCGGCUAACUCCGUG